RNAcentral lists this ribosomal RNA (406 nucleotides) under uncultured bacterium. RNAcentral describes it as "partial 16S ribosomal RNA". It matches the Rfam family "Bacterial small subunit ribosomal RNA", at positions 30 to 526 of the family's 1533-position model. The record is from RNAcentral.
AUUGAACGCUGGCGGCAGGCCUAACACAUGCAAGUCGAACGAGUGGCGGACGGGUGAGUAAUGUCUGGGAAACUGCCUGAUGGCGGGGGAUAACUACUCGAAACGGUAGCUAAUACCGCAUACCAUCGGAUGUGCCAAGAUGGGAUUAGCUAGUUGGUGGGGUAACGGCUCACCAAGGCAACGACCCCUAGCUGGUCUGAGAGGAGUACCAGCCACAAUGGAACGUAGACACGGUCCAGACUCCUACGGGAGGCAGCAGUGGGGAAUUUUGCACAAUGGGCGCAAGCCUGAUGCAGCCAUGCCGCGUGUAUGAAGAAGGCCUUCGGGUUGGAAAGUACUUUCAGCGGGGAGGCGUUACCCGCAGAAUAAGCACCGGCUAACUCCGUGCCAGCAGCCGCGGUAAUAC